UACGGGGGGAGCAAGCGUUGUUCGGAUUUACUGGGCGUAAAGAGCUCGUAGACGGUUCGAUAAGUCGGGUGUGAAACCUCCAGGCUCAACCUGGGGACGCCACCCGAUACUGUCGUGACUAGAGUCCAGUAGGGGAGCGUGGAAUUCCUGGUGUAGCGGUGAAAUGCGCAGAUAUCAGGAGGAACACCAGCGGCGAAGGCGGCGCUCUGGGCUGGCACUGACGCUGAGGAGCGAAAGCGUGGGGAGCGAACAGG
RNAcentral lists this ribosomal RNA (254 nucleotides) under uncultured bacterium. Its description in RNAcentral is "partial 16S ribosomal RNA". It matches the Rfam family "Bacterial small subunit ribosomal RNA", at positions 524 to 776 of the family's 1533-position model. The record is from RNAcentral.